UACGUAGGGUGCGAGCGUUGCCCGGAUUUAUUGGGCGUAAAGGGCGCGUAGGCGGCUCUGCACGUCCGUUGUGAAAUCGCCCGGCUCAACUGGGCGGGGUCAGCGGAUACGGCGGAGCUUGAGCAAGCUAGGGGGCAAUGGAAUUCCCGGUGUAGUGGUGGAAUGCGUAGAUAUUGGGAAGAACACCUGAGGCGAAGGCGGGUUGCUGGGCUGAUACUGACGCUGAGGCGCGAAAGCCAGGGGAGCAAACGGG
RNAcentral lists this ribosomal RNA (253 nucleotides) under uncultured bacterium. Its description in RNAcentral is "partial 16S ribosomal RNA". It matches the Rfam family "Bacterial small subunit ribosomal RNA", at positions 524 to 776 of the family's 1533-position model. The record is from RNAcentral.